GCCAGUGUUUCCUAAUGGUUAGAGUGUAGGACUAGGACUCUGGAGACCAGUGUUCAAUUCCCAGCUCAGCCA
This is a non-coding RNA of Phrynosoma platyrhinos (Desert horned lizard), 72 nucleotides long. The record is from the annotation of a GenBank genome assembly. NCBI's taxonomy places the organism in Eukaryota, Metazoa, Chordata, Lepidosauria, Squamata, Phrynosomatidae.